RNAcentral lists this small RNA (161 nucleotides) under Streptomyces sp. RNAcentral describes it as "c-di-AMP sequence". It matches the Rfam family "c-di-AMP riboswitch aptamer (ydaO/yuaA leader)". From Rfam's summary of the family: This family represents a conserved RNA structure found upstream of the ydaO and yuaA genes in Bacillus subtilis and related genes in other bacteria. The ydaO/yuaA element is thought to act as a genetic "off" switch for the ydaO and yuaA genes in its native state. Lineage: Bacteria; Bacillati; Actinomycetota; Actinomycetes; Kitasatosporales; Streptomycetaceae. RNAcentral also lists the same sequence under 1 other name. The record is from RNAcentral.
GGACAGCGAUCGCCGAGUCCCCAACUGGCGCGAGCCAGGGGAGCCGGGGACCCACUCAGUCCCUGGGGUGAAUCGGACGCCUCCGCCCGCGGAGGGGCCCGUAGGAGACCUUCCAGCUCCGAACCCGUCAGCUAACCCGGUAGGCGAGAUGGAAGGAAAGG